AUUGGAAUUGCUGAAUCAUAUGGUAAUUCUAUUUUUAAAUGUUUGAGGAACUGCCAUAAUGUUUUCUAUAGCAACUACACCAUUUUACAUUACCACCAGCAGU
RNAcentral lists this microRNA precursor (103 nucleotides) under Marmota monax (woodchuck). The record is from RNAcentral. Lineage: Eukaryota; Metazoa; Chordata; Mammalia; Rodentia; Sciuridae.